CGGAGGGAGAGAUGGUGGAGAGGCUGGGACCGGGAGCAAGGGAAGGAGAGAGUGCAGGAGCAAACACCUUGGAAGGAGACGGAGCUGGAGAAGAGACAGGUGGAGAAGAAAGAGGUGUAACUGUUGGGGUCAAUGAGGGUGGUGGAACUGCGGGGGGAGGAGUGGCGGGGGGAGGAGUGGCAGGAGGUGGUGAAAAAGGAGGGGGAGAGGAAGGGGGAGGGGAAGAAGGAGGAGGAGAGGCGGGGGGUGGAGAAGAAGGAGGAGGAGAGGCGGGGGGUGGAGAAGAAGGAGGAGGGGAGGAGGGUGGAGGAGAGGAAGGAGGAGGAGAGCUGAGUGGGGAUGGAGGGGGAGUGGAAGCUGGUGGUGGAGACUGAGAGGGUGGAGGUGAAGAGGGAACAGGUGGCGGAGAAGACUGGACGGGAGGUGGAGAUGCUUGGGGUGUGGGAGGCGCAGGAGAGGUGGAUGGGCCUUGGGCUUGGGCUCCAACGCCGGCAACUAGAGUGAAGAUCAAACCAAGCAAGAAAACCA
RNAcentral lists this long non-coding RNA (528 nucleotides) under Glycine max (soybean). Its description in RNAcentral is "long non-coding RNA (GMAX_LNC002373)". The record is from RNAcentral. Lineage: Eukaryota; Viridiplantae; Streptophyta; Magnoliopsida; Fabales; Fabaceae.